AUAGGUUUGGUCCCAGCCUUCCUGUUAACUUUCAAUAGACUUAUACAUGCAAGCAUCCACGCCCCGGUGAGUAACGCCCUUCGAAUCACACAGGACUAAAAGGAGCAGGUAUCAAGCACACACUCUUGUAGCUCACAACGCCUUGCUUAACCACACCCCCACGGGAGACAGCAGUAACAAAAAUUAAGCCAUAAACGAAAGUUUGACUAAGCCAUAUUGACCAGGGUUGGUAAAUCUCGUGCCAGCCACCGCGGUCAUACGAUUGACCCAAGCUAACAGGAGUACGGCGUAAAGCGUGUUAAAGCAUCAUACUAAAUAGAGUUAAAUUUUAAUUAAACUGUAAAAAGCCAUAAUUACAACAAAAAUAAAUGACGAAAGUAACCCUACAAUAGCUGAUACACCAUAGCUAAGACCCAAACUGGGAUUAGAUACCCCACUAUGCUUAGCCCUAAACACAAAUAAUUAU
Molecule: ribosomal RNA, 466 nt
Filed under: Ovis aries (sheep)
Lineage: Eukaryota; Metazoa; Chordata; Mammalia; Artiodactyla; Bovidae
Description: partial 12S ribosomal RNA
Source: RNAcentral